AUGUGCUCGCUGCAGGAUGACAACCACAACACUCCAGAACCACCCCCCUCCAAGGAGGCGGGGUUACGCCAUCAGCCAAUCGGAGCCCGCGAUCCCGGGUGUCCAACCUAUGGGGUGGCCGUGGCCGUGCAGGGGGAGGACAUGGGGUGGUCCGGGAGGGGCCGCGUCCGUGGGAGGAGUGCACGUGUCCAGAGAGGCUGGGAACCCGCUGGCGUCCAGCUGCCGAGGCGCCCGCCCGGUGUCCGAGUCCAGCUGCCCAGUGCCGUCUUGGACUGGGCAAGGCAGGCGAUCGUCCACCGAGGAAGACCUGUCCAUGUGUCCAGUUCCCGGCGAGAGGGACAGACACAAAUAACAACAAUAGUACCUCGCGCAGACCGGGCGGGGAGGAAAGUUUCUGGCCCGCGCCAGAGUGGAGACAGCCAAAGGCAGGGAGAUGCUAUGCAAGACAGGAGGGUGACACAGUGGGAAGAAGGGGGACAACCGGAGGGCUGCGCGGGCAGGACAGGGUCCAGGGUGCGGUCCCCGGGAGGCGAACCGCGCGGGAUGCGCUGUCCAAGGUGCAAGGGAGGCGGUUGGUGCGUGGCAGGCGCGGAGCCCGAGCGGACACUAGCCCGCCAGAGGCAAAAAGAGCGGAGAACAGCUGUGCGGGGCGCCGGACACCCCCAGCUCGUAAAAGUGCGGGAGCCCGGGGAGCGGCGGCGAAGGGCGCAGGGGGCUCCCCCGCACCGCUGCCUUCCAGCCUCACCUCCAGCUCUGCUCCCCUCCCCCCUCGCCCACUCCUCUCGGUGCCUUGUCCCCGGGCCGCGGCGGGGGCGGGACCGGGAGCCCCCCACCCCCGGACUGCGAGUCCCGACGCCCCAGGGAUGCUGCGGGCCGCGGAGCCGCUUACCUGGGGCCACGGUGCGGAGAUUCAAGACAAGCGAGCGCGGGGCGCGGCGCGGCUCCUCCUCGCCUCGGCGUCUCCUCCGGAUCCCGCUUCUGCCGGACUCCGUCCGGGGCUGAGAGCAGCCAGACGGGGCCAGACUGCGGCCGCCGCUCGCGCCGCCGCCGCUGCCGCAGACAGAGGACGCCCCGUGGCGGCUGGAAGCCUGUAUAGGUAAAGAUAUGAAAAAGAACAGUCAGGUGGAGAAGACGCACAUCUUCCCUGUGCCCUCUAUCCAACUCACGCUCCUCCACUCCACCAUCAUACCGUCAGUCUCUA
Molecule: long non-coding RNA, 1201 nt
Filed under: Cricetulus griseus (Chinese hamster)
Lineage: Eukaryota; Metazoa; Chordata; Mammalia; Rodentia; Cricetidae
Description: lncRNA (ENSCGRG00015036480.1)
Source: RNAcentral